This 468-nucleotide ribosomal RNA is filed under the name uncultured bacterium. Its description in RNAcentral is "partial 16S ribosomal RNA". It matches the Rfam family "Bacterial small subunit ribosomal RNA", at positions 28 to 507 of the family's 1533-position model. The record is from RNAcentral.
GACGAACGCUGGCGGCGUGCUUAACACAUGCAAGUCGAACGGAAAGGCCCGGCUUUUGUGGGGUGCUCGAGUGGCGAACGGGUGAGUAACACGUGAGUAACCUGCCCCUGACUUUGGGAUAACUUCAGGAAACUGGGGCGAAUAUCGGGUAGGGUCUCCUGCUGCAUGGUGGGGGUUGGAAAGUGUCGGCGGUUGGGGCUGGACUCGCGGCUUAUCAGCUUGUUGGGGGGGUAGUGGCUUACCAAGGGUUUGACGGCUAGCCGGCCUGAGAGCGUGGACGGCCACAUUGGGACUGAGGGAGGGCGCAGUAGGGUACGGGGGGCAGUGGGGGGGAGUAUGGCACAGUGGGCGGAAGCCUGAUGCAGCGACGCCGCGUGCGGGAUGACCGGCUUCGAGUGGUAAACAGAUUUCUACUGUGCCGAAGCGUGAGUGACGGUAACGAGUCAAGAAGCCCCGGCUAACUACGUG